RNAcentral lists this long non-coding RNA (317 nucleotides) under Elaeis guineensis (African oil palm). RNAcentral's name for it is "long non-coding RNA (EGUI_LNC061958)". Lineage: Eukaryota; Viridiplantae; Streptophyta; Magnoliopsida; Arecales; Arecaceae. The record is from RNAcentral.
GUUCUACUGAUGUCGUGCACCUCAUCUAACAGUUAUUGGUAACACGAAUAAAAAUAUCGAUGUGUGGACAACUCUUUGCCCAGAUACUUCUUUAAGCAUAUUGCAGUCACUUGAUCUUUAAGUCAUGUGAGCUCACCUAAUAGUUUUGCUUAUACUUAAUUAAGCCAGAUCCACCGUUCACAAACAAGUGCAAAAUCAUCAUUGGAUCCCUCACCUAACAGUUAUUGGGCCUAACCCUAUCUUUACCCCACAGUAACUCUUUGCUAAUAGAGUGGUUGUGUGUUUUCGAUGUAACUGAACCACUGUAACCAACUGAG